UGGGAAUAUUGCACAAUGGGCGAAAGCCUGAUGCAGCAACGCCGCGUGAGUGAUGAAGGCCUUCGGGUUGUAAAGCUCUGUCUUUUGGGACGAUAAUGACGGUACCAAAGGAGGAAGCCACGGCUAACUACGUGCCAGCAGCCGCGGUAAUACGUAGGUGGCAAGCGUUGUCCGGAUUUACUGGGCGUAAAGGAUGCGUAGGCGGAUUUUUAAGUGAGAUGUGAAAACCCUAAGCUUAACUUGGGGACUGCAUUUCAUACUGGAAAUCUAGAGUGCGGGAGAGGAGAAUGGAAUUCCUAGUGUAGCGGUGAAAUGCGUAGAGAUUAGGAAGAAACACCAGUGGCGAAGGCGAUUCUCUGGACCGUAACUGACGCUGAGGCAUGAAAAGCGUGGGUAGCAAACAGGAUUAGAUACCCUGGUAGUCCACGCCGUAAACGAUGAGUACUAGGUGUAGGAGGUAUCGACCCCUUCUGUGCCGCAGUUAACACAAUAAGUACUCCGCCUGGGAAGUACGAUCGCAAGA
Molecule: ribosomal RNA, 523 nt
Filed under: uncultured bacterium
Lineage: Bacteria
Description: partial 16S ribosomal RNA
Rfam family: Bacterial small subunit ribosomal RNA
Source: RNAcentral